This 73-nucleotide transfer RNA is filed under the name Polyipnus stereope. Its description in RNAcentral is "tRNA-Val". It matches the Rfam family "tRNA". Rfam says of the family: Transfer RNA (tRNA) molecules are approximately 80 nucleotides in length. Lineage: Eukaryota; Metazoa; Chordata; Actinopteri; Stomiiformes; Sternoptychidae. The record is from RNAcentral.
CAGAGUGUAGCUAAACAAAGUAAAGCACUUCCCUUACACCGAAGAGACACCCGUGCAAAUCGGGUCGCCCUGA